AUUGAACGCUGGCGGUAUGCUUAACACAUGCAAGUCGAACGGUAGCAGGCCUUCGGGCGCUGACGAGUGGCGGACGGGCGAGUAACGCGUAGGAAUCUACCUGGUAGUGGGGGACAACUUGGGGAAACCCAAGCUAAUACCGCAUACGCCCCAAGGGGGAAAGCGGGGGAUCUUCGGACCUCGCGCUAUUGGAUGAGCCUGCGUAGGAUUAGCUUGUUGGUGAGGUAAAGGCUCACCAAGGCGACGAUCCUUAGCUGGUCUGAGAGGAUGAUCAGCCACACUGGAACUGAGACACGGUCCAGACUCCUACGGGAGGCUG
This 319-nucleotide ribosomal RNA is filed under the name uncultured Pseudomonadota bacterium. Its description in RNAcentral is "bacterial SSU rRNA". It matches the Rfam family "Bacterial small subunit ribosomal RNA", at positions 30 to 351 of the family's 1533-position model. The record is from RNAcentral. Lineage: Bacteria; Pseudomonadati; Pseudomonadota.